CUGAGUACUACACUCUCUACCCUUUGUGAACUAUUAUACCUGUUGCUUCGGCGGCGCCCGCAAGGGUGCCCGCCGGUCUCAUCAGAAUCUCUGUUUUCGAACCCGACGAUACUUCUGAGUGUUCUUAGCGAACUGUCAAAACUUUUAACAACGGAUCUCUUGGCUCCAGCAUCGAUGAAGAACGCAGCGAAACGCGAUAUGUAAUGUGAAUUGCAGAAUUCAGUGAAUCAUCGAAUCUUUGAACGCACAUGGCGCCUUCCAGUAUCCUGGGAGGCAUGCCUGUCCGAGCGUCGUUUCAACCCUCGAGCCCCUGUGGCCCGGCGUUGGGGAUCUGCCACGGCAGGCCCCUAAAACCAGUGGCGGACCCGAAGGCCCUCUCCUUUGCGCAGUAGCAUCAGCCUCGCAUUGGGAUCCCUCGGCGUCCUGCCUCUAAACCCCCCACAAGUCCGCUCCGGCGGCAC
This 461-nucleotide unclassified non-coding RNA is filed under the name Plectosphaerella cucumerina. RNAcentral describes it as "partial contains ITS1, 5.8S rRNA and ITS2". The stretch from base 140 to 293 matches the Rfam family "5.8S ribosomal RNA". Lineage: Eukaryota; Fungi; Ascomycota; Sordariomycetes; Glomerellales; Plectosphaerellaceae. RNAcentral also lists the same sequence under 1 other name. The record is from RNAcentral.